RNAcentral lists this transfer RNA (76 nucleotides) under Felis catus (domestic cat). It matches the Rfam family "tRNA". Rfam says of the family: Transfer RNA (tRNA) molecules are approximately 80 nucleotides in length. Their secondary structure includes four short double-helical elements and three loops (D, anti-codon, and T loops). RNAcentral also lists the same sequence under 1 other name. The record is from Rfam by way of RNAcentral. Lineage: Eukaryota; Metazoa; Chordata; Mammalia; Carnivora; Felidae.
GCUUAGUAAGUUAAACGUCUGACUUCGAUUCAGGCCAUGAUCGCACAGUUCGUGGGUUCAAGCCCCACACUGGGCU